This 84-nucleotide non-coding RNA is filed under the name Conticribra weissflogii. Lineage: Eukaryota; Bacillariophyta; Thalassiosirophyceae; Thalassiosirales; Thalassiosiraceae. The record is from RNAcentral.
UAAAAAUGAUUAUUGGAGGUAAAUUGAAUUUUUUUCAUUUUGUUUGAAUUUAUUUUGUUUCUCUUUCUUAUUCAUUUUUUUAUU